RNAcentral lists this ribosomal RNA (250 nucleotides) under uncultured bacterium. Its description in RNAcentral is "partial 16S ribosomal RNA". It matches the Rfam family "Bacterial small subunit ribosomal RNA", at positions 355 to 602 of the family's 1533-position model. The record is from RNAcentral.
UGAGGAAUAUUGGUCAAUGGAGGCAACUCUGAACCAGCCAUGCCGCGUGAAGGAUGAAGGUCCUCUGGAUUGUAAACUUCUUUUAUAGAAGAAGAAACCCCAGUAUUCUUAUUGGGUUGACGGUACUCUAUGAAUAAGCACCGGCUAACUCCGUGCCAGCAGCCGCGGUAAUACGGAGGGUGCAAGCGUUAUCCGGAUUCACUGGGUUUAAAGGGAGCGUAGGUGGGUCGGUAAGUCAGUGGUGAAAUCC